This 750-nucleotide ribosomal RNA is filed under the name uncultured bacterium. RNAcentral's name for it is "bacterial SSU rRNA". It matches the Rfam family "Bacterial small subunit ribosomal RNA", at positions 43 to 803 of the family's 1533-position model. The record is from RNAcentral.
CAGGCCUAACACAUGCAAGUCGAACGGAAAGGCCCUGCUUUUGUGGGGUGCUCGAGUGGCGAACGGGUGAGUAACACGUGAGUAACCUGCCCUUGACUUUGGGAUAACUUCAGGAAACUGGGGCUAAUACCGGAUAGGAGCUCCUGCUGCAUGGUGGGGGUUGGAAAGUUUCGGCGGUUGGGGAUGGACUCGCGGCUUAUCAGCUUGUUGGUGGGGUAGUGGCUUACCAAGGCUUUGACGGGUAGCCGGCCUGAGAGGGUGACCGGCCGCAUUGGGACUGAGAUACGGCCCAGACUCCUACGGGAGGCAGCAGUGGGGAAUAUUGCACAAUGGGCGGAAGCCUGAUGCAGCAACGCCGCGUGCGGGAUGACGGCCUUCGGGUUGUAAACCGCUUUCGCCUGUGACGAAGCGUGAGUGACGGUAAUGGGUAAAGAAGCACCGGCUAACUACGUGCCAGCAGCCGCGGUGAUACGUAGGGUGCGAGCGUUGUCCGGAUUUAUUGGGCGUAAAGGGCUCGUAGGUGGUUGAUCGCGUCGGAAGUGUAAUCUUGGGGCUUAACCCUGAGCGUGCUUUCGAUACGGGUUGACUUGAGGAAGGUAGGGGAGAAUGGAAUUCCUGGUGGAGCGGUGGAAUGCGCAGAUAUCAGGAGGAACACCAGUGGCGAAGGCGGUUCUCUGGGGCCUUCCUGACGCUGAGGAGCGAAAAGCGUGGGGAGCGAACAGGCUUAGAUACCCUGGUAGUCCACGCUGU